AGAGUUUGAUCCUGGCUCAGGACGAACGCUGGCGGCGUGCCUAAUACAUGCAAGUCGAGCGAGCUUGCCUAGAUGAUUUUAGUGCUUGCACUAAAUGAAACUAGAUACAAGCGAGCGGCGGACGGGUGAGUAACACGUGGGUAACCUGCCCAUGAGACUGGGAUAACACCUGGAAACAGAUGCUAAUACCGGAUAACAACACUAGACGCAUGUCUAGAGUUUGAAAGAUGGUUCUGCUAUCACUCUUGGAUGGACCUGCGGUGCAUUAGCUAGUUGGUAAGGUAACGGCUUACCAAGGCAAUGAUGCAUAGCCGAGUUGAGAGACUGAUCGGCCACAUUGGGACUGAGACACGGCCCAAACUCCUACGGGAGGCAGCAGUAGGGAAUCUUCCACAAUGGACGAAAGUCUGAUGGAGCAACGCCGCGUGAGUGAAGAAGGGUUUCGGCUCGUAAAGCUCUGUUGGUAGUGAAGAAAGAUAGAGGUAGUAACUGGCCUUUAUUUGACGGUAAUUACUUAGAAAGUCACGGCUAACUACGUGCCAUCAGCCGCGGUAAUACAUAGGUGGCAAGCGUUGUCCGGAUUUAUUGAGCGCAAAGCGAGUGCAGGCGGUUCAAUAAGUCUGAUGUGAAAGCCUUCGGCUCAACCGGAGAAUUGCAUCAGAAACUGUUGAACUUGAGUGCAGAAGAGGAGAGUGGAACUCCAUGUGUAGCGGUGGAAUGCGUACAUAUAUGGAAGAACACCAGUGGCGAAGGCGGCUCUCUGGUCUGCAACUGACGCUGAGGCUCGAAAGCAUGGGUAGCGAACAAGAUUAGAUACCCCGGUAGUCCAUGCCGUAAACGAUGAGUGCUAAAUUUUUGGGAGGUUUCCGCCUCUCAGUGCUUGCAGCUAACGCAUUAAGCACUCCCGCCUGGGGAGUACGACCGCAAGGUUGAAACUCAAAGGAAUUGCCGGGGGCCCGCACAAGCGGUGGAGCAUGUGGUAAAAUUCGAAGCAACGCGAAGAACCUUCCCAGGUCUUGACAUCCAGUGCAAGCAUAAGAGAUUAGGUGUUCCCUUCGGGCACGCUGAGACAGGUGGUGCAUGGCUGUCGUCAGCUUGUGUCGAGAGAUGUUGGGUUAAGUCCCGCAACGAGCGCACCCCUCGUCACUAGUUGCCAUCAUAAAGUUGGGCACUCUAAUGAGACUGCCGGUGACAACCCGGAGGAAGGUGGGGAUGACGUCAAGUCAUCAUGCCCCUUAUGACCUGGGCUACACACGUGCUACAAUGGACGGUACAGCGAGAAGCGAACCAGCGAAGGCAAGCGGAUCUCUUAAAGCCGUUCUCAGUUCGGACUGUAGCCUGCAACUCGCCUACACGAAGCUGGAAUCGCUAGUAAUCGCGGAUCAGCACGCCGCGGUGAAUACGUUCCCGGGCCUUGCACACACCGCCCGUCA
RNAcentral lists this ribosomal RNA (1433 nucleotides) under uncultured bacterium. Its description in RNAcentral is "16S ribosomal RNA". It matches the Rfam family "Bacterial small subunit ribosomal RNA". The record is from RNAcentral.